AGUGGAUGCCGAUAGAUGAGUAUAUUGGACAGCCAUUUUACGAAGAAGACCAAAUGUCAAGGAGGGUGAUCGAAGCUUCCAUUGCAGCGUAUGAAGGUCAUUAUAAUGGGUUUGCUGCCUGCCAGUUGACCUCAAAACUUGAUGGGAAAUUGUCCUAUUUAUAUUACGAUUGUUCAAGCAGCUUUUAACGCACCAGGCGGUUGUGCUUAUUUAAUACUAGUACUAAAACUGAUUAUGAAUAUUAAUGAAGGAAAACCGAGUCAAUAAU
This 268-nucleotide unclassified non-coding RNA is filed under the name Hevea brasiliensis (rubber tree). The record is from RNAcentral. Lineage: Eukaryota; Viridiplantae; Streptophyta; Magnoliopsida; Malpighiales; Euphorbiaceae.